CUACGGGACGCUGCAGUGAGGAAUAUUGCACAAUGGACGAAAGUCUGAUGCAGCAACGCCGCGUGGAGGAUGACACAUUUCGGUGCGUAAACUCCUUUUAUAUAGGAAGAUAAUGACGGUACUAUAUGAAUAAGCACCGGCUAACUCCGUGCCAGCAGCCGCGGUAAUACGGAGGGUGCAAGCGUUACUCGGAAUUACUGGGCGUAAAGAGCGUGUAGGCGGGUUUGUAAGUUGGAUGUGAAAUCCUAUGGCUCAACCAUAGAACUGCAUCCAAAACUGCUUACCUAGAAUAUGGGAGAGGUAGAUGGAAUUUCUGGUGUAGGGGUAAAAUCCGUAGAGAUCAGAAGGAAUACCGAUUGCGAAGGCGAUCUACUGGAACAUUAUUGACGCUGAGACGCGAAAGCGUGGGGAGCAAACAGGAUUAGAUACCCUCGUAGUC
Molecule: ribosomal RNA, 439 nt
Filed under: uncultured bacterium
Lineage: Bacteria
Description: partial 16S ribosomal RNA
Rfam family: Bacterial small subunit ribosomal RNA
Source: RNAcentral